Molecule: long non-coding RNA, 5444 nt
Organism: Numida meleagris (helmeted guineafowl)
Lineage: Eukaryota; Metazoa; Chordata; Aves; Galliformes; Numididae
Exons: 2
Source: RefSeq, a predicted model, not a curated record
ACAGCAUCCACCAAGGCUUGGUGGAGCCGCCCCAGCUCCCUGCCAUGCACAAAUGGAGCAUCGUCAGAGCAAGCACACAGAGUGAGAAGAAAUGAGAUGCUGAAAGGGAAGAGAUGUCCUUAGAAGGGAAGUCAGCCCUGGCCUGCAGCGAUAACUUUGCUUCCUAAUAACACACUGCUGGGGAGCACAGUGUUCCUGCCCUGCUUCCACGGAGCGGAGGUUUGCUUCACAAAGCCUGUUUUCUCCUUCGAUCUUCACAGAUAUUGAUCUGUAUCAAAAUGGAUUUUAUGAAGAGGAGGAGGGGGGAAAGCAGCCUCAUGACCUUACAUCUAUUUGGUGUUUGGAGCUGUGUGAAAAAUAUCUUGAUUAUAGCCUGGCAAUUUUCUCCAGUUGCUCCGUAGCAGAACGGCAGAGCUGCCGAUGUGGGCAGGAGUGCAAUGCUGGCAACAGAACUUGCUUCUGCAAUCUGAAGAGAUGUAUUCUGGAGGGCAUGGAGUGAUUUCUUUGUCCUAUUCAGGCCUUGGGACUCACAGCUGAGAUCACUGGUUUUGCCUUAAUGACAUUCUCAGGGCACCAAUUGGCCAGCAACCUCUAUAUAGGAAUUGCUUGUGUUUAUACGAGUUGAUGCUAUCCCCAGCCAGAUCUUAUCCCUUAAUCCAUGCCAUGUAGGACACCCAGCAUGAUUCCCAAGAGCCACGCAGCUGGGAUUUGAUCAGGGACGCUGCAAAGCCACACAUGACUCAUGGAACAGCAUCAAAGAUGCUCCCAAGCACUGCUUACAUCCCACUAAAUAAACCAGGCACUUUCUUCAUAGACAGUGGUACAUCAAGGGCAUCAUAAGGUGUAUGCAUGGACUGCUGAUCUAGUGAUCAUCACUGAGCACAUGCGUGCUUGGGGGAUCCUACAACUCAGGAUCUGAAAAGCCAGAGUCUGGAGGUGAUGGGUGGAUUCCUUCUUGGAGAAAGUCUUAAAAUCUUUCUGGUUAUGGAGAUUGUAGUAAGGUGUAGUUGAAGAAAUGUCUAGGCAGCUCACAGAUGUGGUGGCUGAUGAUAUUGAUAACAGAUUACUGGAAAUCCUUGUUCUGGUAAGUCCUUGAGCUCCAGUUCUAAUUUUUGUGUAAGGUAUUAUUAGUGUUAGGCAGUAGAGAGAAAAAAAAGGAGGAAAAAAAGUAAACUUCUACAGAAGAAGAAAGAGAUUCUUUUCUCUUGCCUUUGGCUAAAGUAUCUUCAGUAAUGCUGGCAAAAUAGAAGGAAAAAGCACAAGUUUUUUUUCUCCAUGGAUGGGUGGGCAGACAGCCUGAGGACUUGAGAAGAAAGCUCCAAGCUGCUGUGUGCCCUCCCCAGCACAGAGACCUUCCCCUUGUCCAGGGCAGUUGCAAGAAGCUGCUUCCUUUGCAAGGGUUUCUGUAAAGCCUUUAUUGAGCUGCCUGUGCAGAAGUCAAAUGGGACACGGGAGAAUCCCAAACGUGCAGGUCUGCUCUUCACUUCUGAAGAACAACAUCUCCAGCGUAUUGCCCUCCGGAGAAAUAAGGUGGGCAUAGAGAAGGAGUAGAUGCCCUAAAUUCCUGUCAGCUCCAGUACCACCAGCAGCAGGCACAGUCAAGCAAGCUUUCCUUAGAGUUUACAGGGGGCACUCGGUGCUAGAACAGAAAGAAGUAUUUUGCUUGCAAUAUUUCAUUAAUUCCCCAUGCAGACAAGAUGUGCACAAGCCCUAAUAGCUUCUUCAGAAGUUUUGCCCCCUCUGUAGAUCUGCAGUCACAGAGCCCUGCCCAGUUGCUGUCAUGCUGUGAUGUGCUGAGUCAAUUAAAAGUCUGUGCUUAUCAUGGGCACGCACAACAAAUGUUAUCUACCUUAUUAGUCUGGUAAACCACAGUGCAAGCUACGGUUCUUCACGAUAAUAAAAUAGUGCAUUAGCAUAAGUCAAUCAAGAGCAGAUUUUAGAAAUAAUUGGUUUAGAUUUUCAGCUAACAGCUGCUUUGGUUAUUAGCUCUUGGACACUUUGUUUUUAAUUGGACAAUUUGAAGGAAACGUUAUCCAGUGCCUCCAGGCUUCCUUCAGUAGAAAUAUUCUUUUUUAUAAAGAGCUCCAUGAAAGCUUGCCUUUCUGUGAAGACAACUGCGUGGCUAACACUGUGUGCAACGACAGCAGUUGCAACUACCGUUCACUGCAAAUGUGGCCAAGGUACUAAACUGAAGGAAUCAAAAACUGAGUAGCAGUUUUGAAAGGAGCCAAGGAGGAAGAAAGCAUCCUGCAGAUGAUUCUCCACGUGGGGUUGGAUUGUGCAGUGGCAGCCAGGGACCUUCUGUGGCUCUCAGCAGCCUUGCUGGUGGCCUGAGCUGGCAGGAGGAGCCCCGUUAUCUCCUGCCUAAGAGGCACAGGGCAGUCAGAGGGAGCUGCUAGCAACUGCCCACAAAGAUUUCUGUUACAGAAAAUGGAUCGUGUGUUCAGGACUUUAAUGUAGAAAGCUAGCAGUGCACACCAGAUGGAAGAAACCUGCUCGUGCCAGAGCAGAACUUGGCAAGUGAUGGCUGAAACUGUUGAGAUAACAGGGGCUUCUGUUUCAUUUGAAAGCUGUGUUCAUUUUUUUUCUAAAUAACCUGAAGUUCUGAUGCAAAAAAAAAAAAAAGAGAGAACAGAAGAGGGAGAAAGAUCAGGACAGUGUCUGAGAGAAGACCCUUGGACCUUCCCCUUCAAAAGCAAUGUGAAUCCUGGCCCAUCCCUGGUGUUUGUCCUGCUCCUCGUCAAGCUGCAGCUUUCCAGCAUUGCCAAAUGUUUUCUGUUGCUCAUCAAGUCUGCAGCCUUCAAACCACCCUCUUACUGGCUCCAGAAGCUUGGACCGCUCUCUGUCCACAUUGACUAUUGCAGUCCUUCAUGGGAACCCCAUCACCCCCAGCUCAGGUGCCUGCAGGGUCCCUUGGGGAGAUCAGAGCUCCCCCAGCUGCUCCUGCAGAAGCCAGCAGAGACCCUUCCCAACAACCUCUCCCUUUCCAGCCCAGCUCUCUGGAAGUAGCAGCCUGCCCACAUUUGGAUACCUUGCCUGGAAGGUGGCAGAUGACGCCUGUAAAACUCUUUCCCUGACAUUCAGAGCUGCUAAUUUUUAAUGCAAACUGUUGCCUUGGUAUUUGCAUUUGGAAUGAGUUUGCAUUUCCUUAACUCUUUCCACCCCCCUCUGUAGCUAUAUAGACUCUAAUUUUAUGGGAUCAUUCAAGAUACCAAGUUAUCACUGGGAGGUUUACUUGGGUCUCAGGGUGUGCAGUUCUGGAAGCACCUCAGUAAAAGGAUGAAGCUGCCUUCCCCAUCGGUGCCAAGACUCAUCCCACCAAGAAAAGCCUUGUUCUCACAAACCAUUAGCUAGGAAUAGCACCAUCUCUGGCACUCUUUGUAUUCGUAAUCUCUUUCUUUUACCUUCCUACAUUCUGUGUAAUCGAACUGUUUGGUCUUCCCAAAGAUGCAUAAGAACAGCCAGUCGUUCAGGACGAGUACGCUUCCAUCGCAGGCUACAUCUUGGAGUAAGAAUCAGAUAGCUGAUGAAAUAGAGGUGGUCUCCUUUGCUUGGAAAAAGAACGCCACAAGGAUAAAGCAGAAAUAGAAGGUGAUAUAUUGGCUCUUCUUCAUAUCAUAUUCUUCAAACUUUUUUUUUAAAAAAUCUAAACAAAUUAAUGCCAUGUUAGGAUAGAUGAGUGCUACUACCAGCUAAUAUAACUGGAUUUAUACAGAAAAGUGUCAUUGUACACAGUUCAGUGGAGUGUGAGGUCUUCCAAGGGAUGGCUUGGAAAGAAAACUAGACUUAUAUGUGCUAGCAUUUGCUUGAAAAGUUAAAUAGAGUAUUUCAUUGCUUUCUUUUGUAAGGACGUUUGCUGCAAUAACUUAUUGUUGCUACCAGUCCUUCUGUUCCUACAAACCUGUAGACAUCACACUGAUGUCUCACCUUCCUUGGAGGAGAAAACCCAGCAUCUGCAUGUGUGUGCAGUGCUGACAGAAAGCAAAGUGAAAGGAUUUAGCGUCAAGCGUGAGCAUGAUUCUCACAAAAAUAAAUUGAUUCCAAUAUACGCGAGCUAGAGGGGGAAUGUUAUGCUUUAUUAACUUUUCCUGCUGUUGUAAGUUAUACAGGUAUUGUCUGUGCGACCAGCAGAGUGCUGAAAUGAGCGAUUUCCAGAGGAAAAUGGAGCUUACUUCCCCUGGGUGCCACACACAGAGGGCUGGGGCACCUCCAGGAGCCCCCUGCCCCAUCCUUUUCCCAGAGGAAGGCUGGCUGCGACCUCAGAGCCCGCUUUGAAGUCAGAAGUCGAUCUGUGAAUGCCUUCAGGGUUGGAGGUGUUCUGAAUGGCAGAAGGGUAGAGCAAAGUUGGCUCUGUGGAUAACCCAGCGGUGGCAAUUCCCAUCAAGCAGACAGCGCUCUGUUAUCUAAACUGCAUAGACACAUAUGGAAGUGUCAUACUCUUCCUUUUGGCUUUUUUUUCCUGCCAAAUCGCAUAAGCACGUAAUCAACUAAAAUCAAAUUAUGUCAUGACAAAGUUAAGCCCUCCAGAUGAGGCAGAGCAGAAAAACCUUAUACAUGCUUUUAUCCCAUCGGAUGGUGAAAUGUGUUUGUUUAAGCUUCUCUCAUUAAGUCAAUCUAAUGUGAUUGUGUUAGCUGGCACCCUGUAACUGUCUAUACUGAUGUGCUGGGUAGGAUUAUGGAAGCAAAUCAGCUCUGUCCCCUCUGUCCUUCCCUUUUCCUCUGUACACAUAACAAAACAAGACAUACAAUGCAAAAAAAGAAUGCUGUUUUGUCAGGUGUCAGGAUCAUGGGGGAAGUCAUAGCUAUUCGCUUUUAAAGGGUGAUAAGCACUGAAUAUGGCAAUAGGAGAUAGCCUGUGGGCAGUAAGCAGUUAUUUGGGAGCUUUAAUUUACUGCUUUUUGCAGAGAUAGCAACCCAGUAUGAUAGAAUCUGGACACAAAUAAUAUAAUUCAGCCAGACAGCUAGGAGAAGGAGAUACUUCACUGUCUCAGGAUCCACAAUAUGGUGUGAUUUCAGGCUAUGAUAAUCAGCAUGCAGCUAUUUUGUCACACCGAGAGUGAUUGCAUUCAAGACUCCUUGCAGCAUCAUGGCUGAGAUACCUGGUCUCAGUGGGAAUCCCAAGGAACUGAGUCAGAAGUCAAAAGCCCCACCCCGCGGGUAGAAAAUAAAUUCUUUUGCCAAAAUAAAAGUAUAAUGUCAAUAAUAACCAGCCCCAGAAGUCCUGAAAUUUCCAACAGACUGAAAUUUCAGCUCUGCAGGUGCUGGCUUCUGGGAUUGGCACAGCAUCCGCAGCACUACAGAGCUGUCCAAAGCAGUCUGAAUAGCUCUCAGGUGCCUUAAACUCUCAUUUCUCAGUCUAAAAUACAUGUUAUGACUUUUUCUGUUAACUGUUUGGAAUCCUAUACUUAAUCCUUAAAUUUAAGAGGAGUCUGUCAUGUCUGGCU